UACAGAGGGGGCAAGCGUUAUUCGGAAUUAUUGGGCGUAAAGGGCGCGUAGGCGGCUUGGCAAGUGGAAGGUGAAAUCCCUCGGCUUAACCGAGGAACUGCCCUCCAAACUGCUUGGCUUGAGACCGGGAGAGGUGAGUGGAAUUCCCAGUGUAGCGGUGAAAUGCGUAGAUAUUGGGAGGAACACCAGAGGCGAAGGCGGCGACCUGGACAGAUACUGACACUCAACUACGAAAGCGUGGGGAGCAAACAGG
This 253-nucleotide ribosomal RNA is filed under the name uncultured bacterium. Its description in RNAcentral is "partial 16S ribosomal RNA". It matches the Rfam family "Bacterial small subunit ribosomal RNA", at positions 524 to 776 of the family's 1533-position model. The record is from RNAcentral.